UCCUGAAAAAAGCUACCCCGACCGAAAGGCGGGCGCGCAAAGUCUCAGUCUAAAGGGCUCCUGCCUCAAGACCGGGGGGCCGCCAGG
RNAcentral lists this non-coding RNA (87 nucleotides) under Rhodocyclales bacterium. RNAcentral's name for it is "c-di-GMP sequence". It matches the Rfam family "c-di-GMP-I riboswitch aptamer". Rfam says of the family: GEMM was predicted in a large-scale screen for bacterial structured RNA regulatory elements. The record is from RNAcentral. Lineage: Bacteria; Pseudomonadati; Pseudomonadota; Betaproteobacteria; Rhodocyclales.